CGACCGGGUGAGUAACACGUGAUUAACCUACCUUCGAGUGGGGAAUAACUUCGGGAAACCGAAGCUAACACCGCAUAACAUCCCAAGGACGAGAAGCCCAGGGAUCAAAGGAGCAAUUCGCUUGAAGAGGGGGUCGCGGCUGAUUAGCUAGUUGGCGGGGUAAUGGCCCACCAAGGCGAUGAUCAGUAGCCGGCCUGAGAGGGCGCACGGCCACACUGGAACUGAAACACGGUCCAG
This 237-nucleotide ribosomal RNA is filed under the name uncultured bacterium. RNAcentral's name for it is "partial 16S ribosomal RNA". It matches the Rfam family "Bacterial small subunit ribosomal RNA", at positions 99 to 334 of the family's 1533-position model. The record is from RNAcentral.